Molecule: unclassified non-coding RNA, 741 nt
Filed under: Hevea brasiliensis (rubber tree)
Lineage: Eukaryota; Viridiplantae; Streptophyta; Magnoliopsida; Malpighiales; Euphorbiaceae
Source: RNAcentral
UUACAGUAUUAGCUUGCAUUAUGUUAUUGGAGUAUAUCAUCAUUGACUCAUGUCUAGUGAACUUUUGGGUUUGAAAGGACAAGUUACACAAUCAAAUUAAGAAAUUUUGAAGAAUGCCACUAAUAGUUGAGAAACAUCUUCUGUAUUGAAAAAAUAUUCUUGUAUAAUUUACGGUUACUAUAGCUUAGCCAUGCAACUGUAUUGAAGGAUACAUAACAAGUGAUAACUGAUGCCAUCAAUAUGGUUAGUCAUAAUGGCUAAUGGAUAUAGUAAUUAGCAAAAAUUGUCAAUUUUGCUUCUUAUCAUUUAGAUAGGAAGAAAAAUACAAUGAUUGUAGAAUUUAGCUUCAAUGACUAGCAAAGUUCUGUUGCAUAACAACAAUAAAACAAGAAGAAAUGCAUCUAGCGUAUUAAGUGACAAUAACAAAUGGAAAGGAAUCAGAACUGCAUCCGAUAAGCUAAAAUCAACCUAUAAAUUAAGGAUAUCAUGCUUACCCAAAUAGAUACAGUUGAUGGUUUCCUUGUAAAUUAUUGUCUGGUGGACCUAAAUACUAGCCACUUAAUUAUGGAUUAUUGUGAGUACAACACAUUAUCCAAAAGUUGCACUUGCAAAAGUCAAGCUAAUUAAUACAGAAGCUCUUGAGAAUUUUUCUUUGGGCUGAAAUUCAGGGUAUAGGACAUCUCUCCCAACCCAAAUAAUGGGCUCUGUAGUUGAUGCAGAAUAUAUUCCUAGAGAUUUUAG